AGAAAAAUGUUGUCAUACCCCUCGCAUCUGGCCGAUUGAAUCAAUUAAUCUUGGCUCUUUAGUCAUUUUGUUGUCUGUUUGAAUGUUACCACCAAGGGUAUUUUGGUACUUUCGCCACAAACACAGCCUUACAUCCUGGUUUUUCCUCAUUGUUUAAUCCCAAACCCUCAAUUUAACCUAGUUCUUAAAUAGACGGUCGUUGUUCAUCAAAAUCAGUACCAAGUGAACGAAUUGAAGUUGAAUCUCAGUGAGUUGUAGAAUGGAUCAUCAUUUAUGGAAGAUUAGAGGUGAUGAUCAGUACUUCAAACCAAGCGAUAUGUACUAUGAUAAUGACAGACAAUUUUCAAUGAGGGUGCACCAUGGAGGUAAUUUUGUUGAUAAUCCAAGUCGGGAAUAUGUAGAUGAAAAAAUUAACUUCAUUGAUCAUGUAAACAUUCUUGUACUGAAUAUGGAUGUUUUAGAGGAGAUGAUUAAGAAGUUAGGGUAACAUAUUCUACAUUCAUUAUAAGGAACCUUAUAUGUUUUUAGAUUUUGGGCUUGGAAUACUAAGAUGCGAUACUAAUUUCGAACCUAUGUUUGAUCAUGUGUGCCAAGGUGUUAAGAUGAUUGACAUGUAUGUUGAACACUGGAAGUCAAUAGUUAUGUUGCAAUUUGUAUAA
Long non-coding RNA from Helianthus annuus (common sunflower), 659 nucleotides. RefSeq lists it as uncharacterized. NCBI's taxonomy places the organism in Eukaryota, Viridiplantae, Streptophyta, Magnoliopsida, Asterales, Asteraceae. The transcript is spliced from 2 exons. The record is from RefSeq and is a predicted model, not a curated record.